AGAGACACAGGGAUGCCUUAGUAGCGGCGAGUGAAGCGGCAAAAGCUCAAAUUUGAAAUCUGGCACCUUCGGUGUCCGAGUUGUAAUUUGAAGAUUGUAACCUUGGGGUUGGCUCUUGUCUAUGUUUCUUGGAACAGGACGUCACAGAGGGUGAGAAUCCCGUGCGAUGAGAUGCCCAAUCCUAUGUAAGGUGCUUUCGAAGAGUCGAGUUGUUUGGGAAUGCAGCUCUAAGUGGGUGGUAAAUUCCAUCUAAAGCUAAAUAUUGGCGAGAGACCGAUAGCGAACAAGUACAGUGAUGGAAAGAUGAAAAGAACUUUGAAAAGAGAGUGAAAAAGUACGUGAAAUUGUUGAAAGGGAAGGGUUUGAGAUCAGACUCGAUAUUUUGUGAGCCUUGCCUUCGUGGCGGGGUGACCCGCAGCUUAUCGGGCCAGCAUCGGUUUGGGCGGUAGGAUAAUGGCGUAGGAAUGUGACUUUGCUUCGGUGAAGUGUUAUAGCCUGCGUUGAUGCUGCCUGCCUAGACCGAGGACUGCGAUUAUCAAGAUGCUGCA
RNAcentral lists this ribosomal RNA (548 nucleotides) under Meyerozyma caribbica. Its description in RNAcentral is "LSU rRNA". It matches the Rfam family "Eukaryotic large subunit ribosomal RNA", at positions 60 to 630 of the family's 3401-position model. The record is from RNAcentral. Lineage: Eukaryota; Fungi; Ascomycota; Pichiomycetes; Serinales; Debaryomycetaceae.